UAAAAUAUUUAGUUCCCCAAUCUCUUGGGUCAACAAUUUUUAUCGCCUCAGCGAUUGCUUCGACAUACCUUAAUAAUUUACAAAUCCUAACAGUAAUUGCAAUAUGUCUUAAAUUAGGUGUAGCACCUUUUCAUUUUUGAUUCCCUCCGGUCAUAGCAAGACUUCAGCUAAUACCAGCCUUCAUCCUAUUAACUUGACAGAAAAUCGCUCCCAUUUUAGCCAUUACUUCUCUGAACUCACUCUUGGUCAAAUCCAUCAUACCAAUUGCAAUAAUCAGAGCCCUAUGAGGAGGCAUUGGAGGUUUAAACCAAACUGACAUUCGAUCCUUACUUACGUACUCUUCAAUUGGACAUACAGGGUGAAUACUAGCUAGCAUUAACAGAAAUUAUAUUAUUCUCAUUGCCUACCUAAUAACUUACAUUUUAAUUAACGCAUCAAUCUAUGCUUUCUUAAGCAAAGAACAUAUUAAAUCACACAAACAACUUUUUUCUUCCAAAGAACCCCUCAAAUACUUUAUUUUGUCCAUUACAAUCCUUUCAUUAGGUGGCUUACCACCACUCAUAGGCUUCAUUAUAAAACUAUUAGUCUUAAUAUUCACAAGAGCACAAGUUAUUAUUCUUUUUGGCUUGAUUGCAGGAGCGCUAGUAAGCUUAUACUAUUAUUUAUCAUUAACUUUCUCCACACUACUUAGAUUUAAUAAAAUACAUUUGACAAAAACUCAAAUAACCUCAAAACAAGCAGCUUUAUUUCUCCUAUCCCAAAUUCUUCCCCUAACACUAAUUCUUUUCUUCUUCUAAGUAGGGUAAGCUAAUUAUUAAGCUGUUGGGCUCAUAACCCAAAAAUAGAAACCUCUUCCUACUAACCUAUAAAAAAAUUUUUUAAAAGGGAUUUAAGUUAACAAAACUAAUAGCCUUCAAAGCUUUAAUUGAUCCAAAAUCAAUCCCUACAUACAAGCAAGAAACCAAAAGGUAUUAUGGUUUCGGCCCAUAACUAGGUGUAGAACUACACCCUCGCUUUAAAAUAUUUCAUUGACGUACAAGAUUAACUAUACCAAUUUAACUACAUAUGGUAGCUUACGCGAAUUGUGUUACAAGGACUAUUUUUGAUAAAUCUUUUAAAAAGCUUAUCUGUUAAUAAUAGCCCAAAACAUUUACCACAAUGUUUAUCACUUUCACAACACCAAUGUCCUAUAUUACAUUCGCUAGGAAACUAGGCCCUAGAAAAUAAGUAAAAGGGGUGGCAAAAAUGGUGCCAGCAGUCGCGGUUAUACCAGUACCCCAAGUUAAUUAAAACAAAUCGGAAUAAUUCUUAACCAAGAAAGACUACAAGAUUAACUUUUAAUGUAAAAAGUAAAUUAAAACUAAACCCAAUCCAGUCAUCACUUUAAUUAUUCCAACAAACCACAAUCUCAAAACUCGGAUUAGAUACCCGACUACUGUGUGGCCCAACCCAUAAAAGAAUACUACGAGCGAAAGCUUAAACCUCAAACAAUGUGGCGGUGCUUUACUCCUUAUCAGGGGAUCCUGUGGCUUAAUUCGAUAAUCCACGAAAAUCUUAGCUAUUCUUGUACUUCAGCUUGUGUAUGGCCGUUUAUGCUUGCUCAAAGAAGAAAAAAAAGGAAGCAAUAGAAUCACCCAUUCAACAAUUCAGGUGACAUACAGCCAAUGAAGAGCAGACUCAUGGGAUACAAAUAAAUACACUAACGAAUUUAAAUCUUCAAACUUUUAAUGAAGGAGGACUUGAAAGUAAGAUUUAACACUUAUACAAAAUAAAUCUGAACAAGAACUAAAGCGCGCACAAAUCGCCCGUCACUCCGACAAUAAAGUAGGAUAAGUCGUAACAUAGUAGGGGUAAUGGAAAUUGCCCCUAUCAAUA
This 1875-nucleotide ribosomal RNA is filed under the name Nodularia douglasiae. Its description in RNAcentral is "12S ribosomal RNA". Lineage: Eukaryota; Metazoa; Mollusca; Bivalvia; Unionida; Unionidae. The record is from RNAcentral.